AUACGGAGGAUGCGAGCGUUAUCCGGAUUUAUUGGGUUUAAAGGGAGCGUAGGUGGGAUAUUAAGUCAGCUGUGAAAGUUUGGGGCUCAACCUUAAAAUUGCAGUUGAUACUGGUUUCCUUGAGUACGGUACAGGUGGGCGGAAUUCGUGGUGUAGCGGUGAAAUGCUUAGAUAUCACGAAGAACUCCGAUCGCGAAGGCAGCUCACCGGGCCGGAACUGACACUGAUGCUCGAAAGUGCGGGUAUCAAACAGGAUUAGAUACCCUGGUAGUCCGCACAGUAAACGAUGAAUACUCGCCGUUUGCGAUACACUGUAAGCGGCCAAGCGAAAGCGUUAAGUAUUCCACCUGGGGAGUACGCCGGCAACGGUGAAACUCAAAGGAAUUGACGGGG
RNAcentral lists this ribosomal RNA (393 nucleotides) under uncultured bacterium. Its description in RNAcentral is "partial 16S ribosomal RNA". It matches the Rfam family "Bacterial small subunit ribosomal RNA", at positions 523 to 918 of the family's 1533-position model. The record is from RNAcentral.